GGACACCUGGGCACCCUCAGCAUGGCGCGGGACAAGCCCCUGACGCAGUAAGUGACACCUGGGGGACAUGGGGGGACAUGGGGGGACAUGGGGACACCUGGGGGGACACCUGGGCACCCUCAGCAUGGCACGGGACAAGCCCCUGACGCAGGCCCUGCUGCAUGUGGGCUUCGUGGCGCCCGUGCUGGUGGUGCUGCUGUGGGUGCGGCCGCUGUCCCGGGAUUUCCUGCGCCAGGCCCCGCUGGGCCGGCAGGCGGUGCCGAUCCUGUCGGACGCU
RNAcentral lists this long non-coding RNA (277 nucleotides) under Chloebia gouldiae (Gouldian finch). RNAcentral's name for it is "Erythrura gouldiae (Gouldian finch) lncRNA (ENSEGOG00005010904.1)". Lineage: Eukaryota; Metazoa; Chordata; Aves; Passeriformes; Passeridae. The record is from RNAcentral.